GUCUGAUGUACAGCUGGGCCAUGAAAACUAAGUGCAAGGCGUGCUCAAAAACAUUAGCAUCUGGAGGAUCUAAACAAAAGAGCAAUAGGAAGUGCUCUGUUGCAUUUUGGGUUACUUUCACAAAAAGAAGGUUGUUCUGCAGUUUGUGGAUCUGAUUUGUGGUUCAUGCACUACCUUGAAGGAGAAAUGAACUCUUUCAUGUCAUGAUGUUUGCAACUGCACACCGUUGCAGUGAGCUUCAUUCAUGGAACCCAAUGGAGUAUACAGUUUUAUAUGCAACCAAGGUUGUUUUACUGUAUGGGCUGCAGGACCUCGAGGGGAUCCUUCCGGGGCUCUGAAUUGUGGAAAGUUUACGUGCAUGUUCUAAUUUAUCCUUCAGCUGAGUCAGGUGGAAAAAUACUGCAGGUGAACAUAAUACUGUUUUGUCACUAG
This 432-nucleotide long non-coding RNA is filed under the name Dromaius novaehollandiae (emu). RNAcentral describes it as "lncRNA (ENSDNVG00000003659.1)". The record is from RNAcentral. Lineage: Eukaryota; Metazoa; Chordata; Aves; Casuariiformes; Dromaiidae.